Molecule: transfer RNA, 71 nt
Filed under: Coleoptera sp. ACP-2013
Lineage: Eukaryota; Metazoa; Arthropoda; Insecta; Coleoptera
Description: tRNA-Lys
Source: RNAcentral
UCAUCAGAUAACUUAAAGUAAGUAAUGAAAUUUUAAAUCAUUUAAUAAUAGAGUAACGCCUAUUUCUAAUG